GACGAACGCUGGCGGCGUGCCUAAUACAUGCAAGUCGAACGCUGAAGAGAGGAGCUUGCUCUUCUUGGAUGAGUUGCGAACGGGUGAGUAACGCGUAGGUAACCUGCCUUGUAGCGGGGGAUAACUAUUGGAAACGAUAGCUAAUACCGCAUAACAAUGGAUGACCCAUGUCAUUUAUUUGAAAGGGGCAAAUGCUCCACUACAAGAUGGACCUGCGUUGUAUUAGCUAGUAGGUGAGGUAACGGCUCACCUAGGCGACGAUACAUAGCCGACCUGAGAGGGUGAUCGGCCACACUGGGACUGAGACACGGCCCAGACUCCUACGGGAGGCAGCAGUAGGGAAUCUUCGGCAAUGGGGGCAACCCUGACCGAGCAACGCCGCGUGAGUGAAGAAGGGUGUCGGAUCGUAAAGCUCUGUUGUAAGUCAAGAACGAGUGUGAGAGUGGAAAGUUCACACUGUGACGGUAGCUUAACAGAAAGGGACGGCUAACUACGUG
Molecule: ribosomal RNA, 497 nt
Filed under: uncultured bacterium
Lineage: Bacteria
Description: partial 16S ribosomal RNA
Rfam family: Bacterial small subunit ribosomal RNA
Source: RNAcentral